UAUGUAAGUCUAUUUUUAAAGGUUCAUAAGAAUCCAUACCAGAGUUCUAACAGCGAGUAGGGGGUAUAGAUGAGAGAUUAGAGGUGCAAAUCAGGAUUGGGAGGGUGGUCAAAGGGAACUUUAGCUUUAUCCAUAACACAUUUUUUUAAAAAAAAAAAAAGGUAUUCAUGUUUCAUUUAAUUUAAAAUAUACUGUCAUGUUGUGUUUUAUAAAUCAACUCAAUUGAGGUACUAUUUACAUACAUUUAAUUGCACCCUUUUUAAGUGUGUAUUUUAUUGGGUUUUGACAGAUUCAUAGCUCUGUGCAACCACCAUCACAAUCAAGAUACAAAUAUUUUCAUUACCCCCAAAAUUCUCAUACCCCUUUUCCCAGUCAAUUCCUCUACCCCUAGCCCUAGGCAGCCACAGAUCUGCUUUUGGUUACCAUUGAUUAGAUUUGUCCUUUGUAGAAUUCGUGUAAAUGGAAUACUGCAGUAUGUACUCUGCCUUCUUCCACACUACAGAUUUUUGAGAUUGAUCCCUGUGCGUCAGUUGUCCUAUUUUUUUUUUUUGUUACUGAGUAGUAUGUUCUAUUGUAUGUCAGAUCAUUCAGGUGAGACUUUGGCGUGAAAUGUUAAGCAUCUGACAUCUAAAUAGCAAUAUUUUGAAUAUUGGAAACUCAGGUUAAAGAUUUUGUUUCCAAGUAGAAAUGAAAUCUUAUUGUUUCAAUAAGUAGCUGACAGUGACAGAAAGAUUGACUGGAUUUGGAUCAGAUUGGCUGUUAGGCUUCAGGUAUGGGAAACAGCUCUCAGAUUUAUAAAUUGGAAAUCACCAGGUUACUUGCCAAUAUAUAGUCAUAUUGCUGCCAUUCUACUUAAUUUCUAAAUAUAUAAAAUCCACUUUUAAAAAUUGUAAAAGCAAGGACUCGGGAGUGACUGAUGAAUCAUGAAAUUGCUGCUUUUAUAGAUCAAAACUACUUGAAUCAUCAGGAAUUGUUUCAUAUUGUGUGAAAAUUUAUAAUUUUGUUUUAAAUUAUGAUUUCAUUUUACUAACUGGAAGAAACAGAAGAGCAAAAUUGGCAUAUUUAGGUUUUUUGUAGAAGAAAGACGUGAAAAUUAGGAGUGGAUUGGAGAAAUUGGGGGAAAAUAGAACAGUACGGAGAAAGAAAGAGAUUGAAAACGUAACCGAAGUUCUUUAAAGCUCACAUUUUAUGGUAUCACUGCUGCAAACUAAUAAAAUGUGGCAUUGAAUGAAAA
Molecule: long non-coding RNA, 1234 nt
Filed under: Macaca fascicularis (crab-eating macaque)
Lineage: Eukaryota; Metazoa; Chordata; Mammalia; Primates; Cercopithecidae
Description: lncRNA (ENSMFAG00000048780.1)
Source: RNAcentral